UCAAUUGAUAUUAAAGAAGUACUUUACUUAAUUCUUUUAUGGUAUUCGACAUGCAUCGGCCAUCGUACAAUUUCUAUAGCAAUCAUAGAGACAUUAUUGUGUCUCUGUCAAUUAAUUGGCCAUCGUACAAUUUCUAUAGCAAUCAUAGAGACAAUGGAAUCUGACAUAGAAGCAUGUGAUGAGUACGAAAUCUUUUGGCUCCAUUAUCUUCUGGAAAUUAAGUUCUGAUCAUAUGAGCUCUCCUUCGUUGUUUCCCCAACAAAUCCAAUGAUUGGAAACCCCAGGUUGGCUGGUCGUAUUGGUCAGCGAGUUAGGAUUUACUCCCUCCUCAUAUCCGAAAAAAUUCUUAAUGCAAGAUUAUUUGUAACACCUCUUUUACAUCAAUUAGGUAGCAUUUGCAAACAUAAAAACACUCAAUACAAAUAAAAAAAUAAUACACCUAAUCCAUAAUACAACUACUCGAGUUUGGGAUGUGGUGGAUCUAAUCAAAAUUAGGGUGGCUAUGUGGAUGAAGACCAUGCAUGACCUCAAGUUAUAUAUGGUAGAGGAUUUUAAGGAAUACUUGAAUGGAAUUCAUAAGUUGAGAUUUUAGUUUACUUUUGAGGUGUUUCUAAUCCCACUUUAUGCUGGAUGUUUAUUUUUGUUUGUUCUUCUCCUUUUAUUGAGAAACACUUUGCGUCUCUCUUUUCAUUCCUCGAUGUACCCUUUUGAGCUUAAUAAAAUUUCGUUCGCCGAGAAAAAAAAAUACAAAAAAAAAAAAGUCCAUAUCUUCAUAUACUUGAAAGGAAACUAUUAACAAUAUAUUCAGCGUACUAUCCAAAACUAAGAAAUUCUCAAAAUUUAAAAGUCUUUAAUUCAAAGCCCGAGACCUCACAAAUUAAUCACCAUAUACUAUUCCCCGUGAAUUCUUAUACACAAUCUCGCUCCUUCCCCUAGACUACCCAAAAUUUAAUGUCUUGGUGACUAUUAGGGUCCGAUUGGAUGAGGGAUGAAUUUUGAGGUGGUGUUCCUGUUGCAUUUUCUCAUUUGAUGGUUCUCCCUCUCUAACUUGUAUGGUAAUUUUGAGGUGUUCCUAUAGGAGAAUGGAGUUUUUAAAGUGGAAAAUAUGCAAUUUGUAGGAUCAGUAUCUUGUACUGGUAAGUUACAUUAUCGUAUAACAAUAACACAUAAAAAGAGACAAAUUCCAACUUUUUAUUCUUCUCUUUACCUCAAGAAACACUAGCUAACAAAUUUUCCAACCUUUUAUUCUCUUCUUUAAUUAGCUUAAGAAACAGUAGCUAACAAAUUUGACCGGUGUUGAAGUCUCUGCACAGGUGUAAUGGGUUCAAUUAUCACAGAUAAAACCCGGUUCUUUGCUUUGUUAUCCGGAGCUCCAUGCCCAUCUCCGUUUUGGUAAGUGCAUCGGGCGAUCCGAGCAAGGUUAUAAGCCGUUUCAAUAAACGGUUUCUCAAAUGGAGAAUCAGCUGCUACUCGUUCUUUGUUCAUCUUCUUCCACGCUUCCUCGAUCAAACUUCUUAUGUGCUUCCGGGCUUCUUGUUCAGAAACUCCAGUUUCGUACAUGUAACAGAGGAUUGAGUUUGCAGAUUCACCUCUCUCCAACUCAGC
Long non-coding RNA from Rhododendron vialii, 1605 nucleotides. RefSeq lists it as uncharacterized. NCBI's taxonomy places the organism in Eukaryota, Viridiplantae, Streptophyta, Magnoliopsida, Ericales, Ericaceae. The record is from RefSeq and is a predicted model, not a curated record. The transcript is spliced from 2 exons.